Molecule: ribosomal RNA, 691 nt
Rfam family: 5.8S ribosomal RNA (bases 216-369)
ACCUGCGGAAGGAUCAUUACCGAUCGAUCGCACACAGCGAACUGCACCGAGAACCCGUCAGAAACGUUGGGGGUCGUCCCGCAGGGGGGACGACGAGCGGCGAGACCGACCCUGCCUCCCGGCCCCCGCACCGACUCGCGAGAGUCGACAACAACACACUCGCAACCGAAAGACCGAAGUGACACUUAGUAAAAACUAAAACAAAAAUGAGAGACAACUCUCAACGGUGGAUCUCUUGGCUCGUGCAUCGAUGAAGAACGCAGCCAGGUGCGAUAAGUAAUGUGAAUUGCAGAACUCAGUGAAUCAUCGAAUCUUUGAACGCAAAUGGCGCUCCUGGGAUUUCCCGGGAGCGCGUCUGGUUGAGUGUGGGUUCCACAAAAGAGUCUUUUCCUUUUUUUUCUCGACUCGAGAAGAGAAUUUGGGUAGACGUUAUUGGGGAGUCGCGGCCCGAGGCCCCCGCGCCCGGCCGCGUCCCUCGAAGUGCAGAGGAUCCGACCGCCCGCCUGCGACCAGUCGCGGCGAGUCGGGGUGGCCAAAGAUCUGAUCUCGAUGGAACCACCUUCCGACCCGCCGGCCCGACUGGCUCGCACCCGGCGAGCGCGGCCGACCGACCGAAACCUUUUACAAUCUUCACCUCAACUCAGGCGAGACUACCCGCUGAAUUUAAGCAUAUCAAUANUGUGAAAAGAAC